GUCGGGGUGGCGGAAUUGGUAGACGCGCAUGAUUCAGGUUCAUGUGGGUAAUUCCUUGAGGGUUCGAGUCCCUUCCUCGACA
Molecule: transfer RNA, 82 nt
Filed under: Cyanobacteria bacterium UBA11991
Lineage: Bacteria; Bacillati; Cyanobacteriota
Also listed under: 2 other names
Description: tRNA-Leu
Rfam family: tRNA
About the family: Transfer RNA (tRNA) molecules are approximately 80 nucleotides in length. Their secondary structure includes four short double-helical elements and three loops (D, anti-codon, and T loops).
Source: RNAcentral